This is a long non-coding RNA of Lontra canadensis (Northern American river otter), 333 nucleotides long. RefSeq lists it as uncharacterized. Lineage: Eukaryota; Metazoa; Chordata; Mammalia; Carnivora; Mustelidae. The transcript has 3 exons. The record is from RefSeq and is a predicted model, not a curated record.
GAGAGCAAUGCCCUUCAACAAGGGCCAGGAGAAGCUCUUUCUCAAAUCUUCAAGGUGAGGAUGGCCUAUGGCUCCUGGAGGUAUAAGCCACAACAGUGAGGAAUUUAACAAUUCAUCAACAUUACUAUUUAAUAAGUGUCCUAUUAGUUUAUGGCUCUAGUGGCUCUUCUCCAAAUAAGCAGAAUUCAGGUGAGUCAGAGAGGCAAGAGAGAAGCUACUCUGGUUGACUGAAAAACUAGUGUGCCUCAAAAGAGGAACUGUGCCCACUUUUCUGUUUGGUACAGAGCUCAGAUCUUUUGUGGGGAAAUCAUGCAAAAAGAAUAUCAUCUCAGA